GAAAGCUCGUGGUCAUCGAGUCCAGUGGAGCAAAGUCUGGGAUUCUAUGAAUAGAGUUGAUUCAGCUGGAGUCCUUGCUAGAUUGUCACAACUUGGACAUGUUGUGAGAAGAUCAUAUUCAGUUCAGGCUCCUCUAUCCCUCAUGCAUUUGGACACCAACCACAAGCUGAUUAGAUAUGGCUUAGUAAUAUUUGGGGGCAUAGAUGGCUACUCAAGAAAGAUCAUGUAUCUGGGGGCCACAAACAACAACAGAGCAGAGACUGCUCUAGGUUUUUUUCUCGAGGCAGUAGAGAAGCAUGGAGUUCCUUCACGGUAUGUAUGCAGAUUUUAGUCUGUAUGUCUGUCCUUAUUAAAUGUAUUGUCUUAAUGUGUAGGGUAAGAGCAGACCAAGGUGUGGAAAAUGUGGACAUAGCAAGGUGGAUGUUCACUGUUCAGGGCUGUGGCAGGGGAAGUUUCAUUUCGGGGAAGAGCGUUCAUAAUCAGAGGAUCGAACGAUUGUGGAAAGACGUGUGGAUGUCGGUUUCAAAUGUGUAUUAUGAUGUUCUACAUAGUUUGGAAGAGAGUGGUUCUCUUGACCCAUCAAACAGCCUUCAUCUCUUCUGUGCACAUUAUGCUUUUCUUCCUCGCCUCCAAAGAGACCUAGAGACCUUCACUGAUGCAUGGAAUGACCAUUCCAUCCGUACAGAACAAAAUCUUUCCCCCAAUCAGCUGUGGGAAAUAGGACUUGCACAGAAUGCAGUCAAUGUUUCAUGCGACAUGGAGGACUUCAACAUUUUUGUGCAAGACAGAACUUACCCACUGGAGGAGCAGAAUGUUGGAGUAGUGGUCCCUCAGGUGGAGUGUCUGCUCUCUGAGUAUGAAAUGGCUCGACUAAGGACAACCAUUAAUCCAGUAUCCCAGUCUAGAGACUUUGGACAAGAUAUUUACUUAUCUGUGUUAAAUUUUGUUCAGCAGCUUCUUGAAUAACAUACUUUGAAGCUCAAAACAUCAGACUGUAAGUUAUGAUUUUUUUGUUCUGCAAAGUUUACAGUGUCAUUUAACAACUGUGAAGUAGUACGCAGAAAAAAAACAAAUCGUAGA
RNA transcript from Clarias gariepinus (North African catfish), 1080 nucleotides. RefSeq lists it as uncharacterized. The transcript has 5 exons. Lineage: Eukaryota; Metazoa; Chordata; Actinopteri; Siluriformes; Clariidae. The record is from RefSeq and is a predicted model, not a curated record.